Molecule: long non-coding RNA, 10098 nt
Organism: Brassica napus (rape)
Lineage: Eukaryota; Viridiplantae; Streptophyta; Magnoliopsida; Brassicales; Brassicaceae
Exons: 5
Source: RefSeq, a predicted model, not a curated record
AAAAUCUUUAGAAAUCAAAAUCUACAUCCCCCUAUACAUUAAAAGAGAAGUCAAUUUAGUGAUUUCUGCUGAGGUGGCACUCAUAUAGAGCUUCUCAGGAAAAACGUUAUAAUUCUAUUGGUUGAAUUUUUGGAAUUUUUCUUUUUGAUUUAUUUUUUCACUCCCUUCCGCGUAAUUAAAAACACAGUCGUUUAUGUUGAAGUUUUUUCUUCUUUUUUUUUCCAAUCGCGUGUCAAUUGAACGGGGAGAUGGUUUCAAUCUGAUGAAGACAGUCCGACCAGAUGAGUUUUGUUCUCCAUAACAUAAAGACUCAAUCCUAUCCAUCGCUAACAGCAUCGACAACCAGACGAGGUGAAGUUUAUCGAGUCUCUCGGAAUUUUAGGUUUUUUUGCUUCUCUGAUUGGAUUCGACUUUUAAGAUAUGAUGCGAAGGUUUUUUUGAUACCUGUGAUUGGAUUCGACUUUUAAGCUAUGAUACAAAGAUUGUUGGAUAACACUGAUUCCAAUCGACAUAUGUUUCUUGAUUGAUUACAUUUUGCUUAUUUACAUUUUGAAUCUUUUGUAUCUAAUUGAUUGAUUAACCUUCUUGCUGUUCAGGUCUUGCUUCUCUUAAACAAGACCAUUGUCACGACCACAGAAGUAUUAUCACAACAAACUUGCAUUCGACUUCAGUCUCAGAAGAAGGACUGUAAGAUUACCUUCUCCUUAAUAAUUCAACAAGCAUUUGGACAGUACUAUCUUGUGAUUUUAAAGUUUGUUUUUUUGUUUCAUUAGCACGAUUUAGAGCUUUACAAAACAAUUCCAAUGGUCUGUUGCAUUGCUAAUUGCAGAACGACUAAGAUCUCAAUGGGAUAAUACUGUCAGAGAUAAGGUAAACCUUCUCUUCUCCUGAAAGCAUAUGCAAAUCCGUUUGUUCAGUCGGUUUCAUUCCUUUCUGUAUCCGGUCCUUUGGUUUUCUGAUUUUCAAUUUUGGUUUUCUUAAUUAUGAGAUAUUAAGCCCAUAUAAUUAGAUAACUAGAUAGAUAUUAAGCCCAUAUAAUUAGAUUACUUGCGCAAGAUUUGCAUAUUACUAACUUUCCUUAUUAUUCUAAUCAAUUACUUGCAGAAGUUGUUUUCGUAUUUAUUAUAUUACUUGCGCAAGUUAAAAUCAUAUCAUAUGCAAAUCAAUUUAUGACAAUACAUAAUUAAAAUCUUUCUUUAAACGAUUUCAAUCUUUAUUAGGGGUCAUUAAUAUGAUAAAUAAAUCGGCUUAAUAUAUAUAUGGCAUACCCGAAUGGUUAAAAUACAAACAUUCAGCUCUAACAAGAACAAUGGCAAUGGUGCGAGCCAAAAAAAUAUUGUUUCUUUAGUGAGAGAAUUAAAACCACGUAAAGAUACGUCCCAUAUUGAAGUUAUGAUUCUUCGCUUGUGGAGAAACUAUAACAAAGAAUCAGGAAACACCAUUGAAAUGGUGGUUGUUGAUAAAUAAGUAAGUUACUUUAAAUAUGCAUUUUUUUUGGAAGCAUCGUUUAUAUAAUUAUUCUGCGUAUAUAAAGACUUCAUAUUUUUUUGUCUAGGGGACAAGAAUUCAUGCUUCAGUUGGUGAACAACUCAUCAAAAAAUUCGAUGACAAGCUACGCGAGGGAGAUGCGAUUGUCCUCCAGUUGUUCAAAGUGUACGAUGCUACUGGUGAAUACCGUACGAUGCCACAUCCUUACAAAAUUGGCUUCUUUCACACAACAUUUGUUGGAAUAGCUGAUGAUUUUCCAAGUGCAGUUCCCGAAAAGUAUUUCGCGGACUUCUCUGAUAUUCUUGGUGAAAAUCUGGACCAUAGCUGUUUGGUUGGUGAGUUAGUUUCUUAAUCAGUUAAAGAGUCUUUCACUUUACUACUACCUGUUUCUGAUUUGAGUCUUAUUUUUGGUAUGUAGAUGUGGUUGGCCAAAUAGUUAACUUCGGGUCUCUGGAAAACAAAAUAAUAAAAGAAAAAGACAACAUGAGGCUCUUGGUUGAGUUGCGUGACCCAAAGUAAAGUGAAAGAUUUUUAAUCUUAUUUAUACUUUGCUAAGAAAACAUCUAUUAACUGUAUUUAACUUAAGUUUAUAUUAUACAGUAAUGUGAAGAUGAUGUGUACUCUGUGGGGUAGUUAUGCUAAACAAGUAUACGAUUACAGUAGGAGUAACAUGUCCCCCAUGAUUAUUUGUGUGAUCAGAUUCUGUUCUGUUAAAGAGUGGAAAGGUGCUUACUCCAUAUCUAGCGGGUAUAAUUCAACCCAUAUCCUGCUCAACCCAACACUUGAUUUUAUUGAGGAGUUCAAAGCAAGUCUCCCUGAUGAUUCACUUGCUCUUACGAACAACGAUAGUAGCCAAUGGUCUGUUGGUACUGCUACUUCUAUUCGUGCCAGGUUUUUUGUUCUUAAUGAGAGGCUAACCAUCGGAGAGAUCAUUGAUAGCUCUGUGGUUGGCACUUUUGUUACUCUGGGGACCAUUGAAACAAUUGAUACUAAACGUGGCUGGCAAUAUCUAAGUUGCAAAUACCACAACAAAAAAGUGAUGCCUACAACCAAUGUUGAUGCUGAUGACCGGCCCUUGUUCUUCUGGAAUACGUGUGACAAAGAACACAGUGAUGUUAUUUCCAGGUAUUGAUCGGGUUAGAUAUACAAAAAUAUCAGUUAGGUAGAUCGUCAUUGAAAUAGUCUGUGACGUUUUGUCUUUGGAAUUGUUCAGGUUCAAAUUAAUUGCCAAUGUCAAGGACGAUAGCGGUGAGGCUAAUUUUCUGUUGUUUGAUGCUAAUGCUCAAGUAAUUGUGCGUCAUUCUGCUGCUGAACUCUAUGACGAGGUACAUUUAUAAAUUCCAUUGUACAUCAAUUAACACAGUAAAUUAUAUUAGCCGACCGCUAUCUAUGUAAUUGUAGAAUGAAGAUGAAGACUUCUUACCUGAAGCAGUGAGCGAUCUCUUUGGUAAGAGAGUCCUUUUUAAGAUUUCAGUUGACGCUGAUAACAUCAAAGGAAAGAGUUCUCAGUAUGUUGUUCGAUUGGCUACUGAUGACCGUGAAAUGGUUGAGGAAUUUGCUGAUUUGCCUCCUAAAUCUAACCCGGUACUAAUGUUGGAGUCCGCAGAUGAUAUUUCCUCUGGUUCUGGUGGUUUUACAGCAACUCCUUUGUCCAAAAGAAAAAGCGAACAAGAUGACGACAGUUGCCUUGAGGAUCAACACUCUGUUAACAAGAAACUCUCUCAAAAGAAACUCAAGGGCGAGUGAGCUGUCUCUUUUUGAUGAGUUGCUGUCCUUUAUAGUGUUAUGGCUUUGUUUUUGCUUCAUUUUUUAAAACUUUGUCUGAGUAUCUUUGUCUUUGGUUUUCUUUAAGAUUUGGUCCGACCAUCUUUGUUUUUUGCUUUUAAUUGGAAUAAAAAUUUAUCAAGUUCCAAUCUAAACCAGACAACCAUUUCUUUGGUUGGCUCUGACAUUUGAUUUAGUAUUAAUGCCAAUCGGUAACGUUUUAGAAUCAUUACAUUGAUAAAAUUCCUUAUUCAACCUUUUCUUUGGUUGGUUCUGACAAUAGAUUUUGUAUGAAGCUCAAAUUGGCAUAAAUACAAAGUUAGCCCAUUUGAAAUACUGAAUAACAAAAAAAUGUAACCGAAAUUUUACUAAUCGUAACAUUAUUAUCAAACCGAUCCCCCUUAUUAGAAUUUUAUUGGUAGUAAUACAAUCUCAGCCCAUUUGUAAUACCAAACUAAAAACCAAUUUAUUGCCCGAAUAGUAUUUAAGCCCAUAAUUUUGUAGUUGCGAUACUAUUAAAUACUUUUUGACGUUUUUUUUAUAGACAGUAUUAGACUAUAUUUUUUAAUAUGAAAACUUCUUUGUAUAUUAAUUUGUAGAUUCUUUAACUAAACAUUUAUCUAAAAAAAAUCAUGCAAAUAGAUCAUAGAUAUAAACCCAAGGUAGUGCAAACAAUGGGUUCUUUGUACAGGAAGUGAAAAUCGAAAAUUAUUAAAAAACAGGAGUUUAAUGCAUAACCUUUUUCAGAUAAAGGUUAUCGAGAUUAUUUUGGAAGAAAAUAAUUAUCAUAUUUAUAAUAAAAACAUACACGGAAAAUAUGAUUAAGUCGGUAUAUAAAACAAUUAAUUGGAAAGGUAAAUACAAUUAACAUAUUUAUAAUUUAUGUUUUCGAUAAGUAAUGUGAAAAGACACGACUCAUCGAGAGUCCCCUAGACAUUAUAAAGACAGCAGUGAAUAAUUGUGAACAAAAUCUUUCAUCUCACUUCUUCUCCGAUUGAGUCUCUCCAACUUUCGGUAAGUUUAUUUUCUUUCUCUUUAGUUUUUUCUUUCAAAUAUAUUGCAUGUAGAUCCAUCAGUUUUCUGUAUAAGCGGUUACCAAUUGAAUCAAGACUUUUUAGGUUUUGCAUCCGUCAUGCGUCUUUUUGUUCAAAAACCUGUCUAUGAUCUUGGUAGGCUUGUUUUCUGUAAAAAUCAAUGAGUAUUUAGGAGAUCUUAUGUGUACAACUGCUUAUUAUUGAUCGUUGUAAAUAAUUUUUCCGCUUAGAUAAUAUAACGUUUAUAACUAAUACUGUUUAUAAUAAGCAGAUCGACCAACAUCUCGCGAUGGCAUUCAAGAAGGACCUUAAACGCAAGUCUCCAAUGACUGAUGAUUACGGUACUUCUCUUGAAGAGGCAUUCAAAAAUGGAAUGGAGGGGACGACUGCGCAUUACCAAGCCAUUCUCUUUAUGUACAAGCAACUACAUGAUGCGCUCAUCAAGAAGCAUGCUGAAGAACUUGAAGUCGCUCGCGUACAAGGUAAACUGGAACUCUUUGACGAACUCUUCAACAUGUCUGCAUUGAGCGAAGAGAAAGAGAAGAUAGAGUCGGAACUCGUGCUUGCAGAGGCCAAGGCGGCUGAUGUGAAGGUUCCUUACAUCGAUUGGUACAAGUUGAAUGAGCCACAGAUGUUUGAUUAACCUUGUCAAUUUCUUGUUUGCUUCAAGUUAAAACGUUUAAUCUUUUUUAUAUUUUGGUGUUGUAAUAUGGAACAUAUUUUCUGGUUUUUAAAACCAGUUUUCCAGCAAAAUUUGGUAGGUUAUUAAACUAUUUUAAGUUUGUUAUAUUAUAAUCUGCCUUUAUAUUAGCCUAUCUCAAUUUAUUUCUUAUUGUUAUAAUUGGCUUUCAUGUUCCAAUUACACAUUCGUUUGAUUUAGUUGCUUUAGUUACAAAAUUAAAAUUUCUGUAUAUAAGACUUUCGAAGAAGAAGUAGGUUUUUUGAACUGGAAGAGGAAGUAGGUUAUACCUAUAGUGGUGGAGUAAGUGGUUCAUAGAUUUGUCUAAAUCACAUUAGUCAAGGUAGCGUGAGUAUGUCAAAGACAAUAUCGCAUCAUGUUUGGAUUCUUGAGAUCUUAGAAUACCAAAGGAAACUGAUUUAAUAAAAUUUAAGAAGGAAAUGUACUGACAAAAUAAUUACGUAAUAAGAGUUUAUAUCUAUAAUUUAACUACAGGUCUUUUCGUAUCGGAAUUGUGAAGUUAAAUAUAUUUGAUCGAGGUAUGGAAAUGAUGAUAUUUUUUUAAUUCUUUAUAAUUUAAUUUAUUGACAUGCGUGCAAGAUUAUAAAUAUAUUUUAUAAAUAUCUAAUUAUUCGACAUAUAUUUAAACACGAUAGAAUCUACUUUCCGGAAAGGAAGGCAAUAUUUUAAAUGACGAUCUACAUUGCGAUCCAUAUAUUAGUUCAAAAUCUAUUGCUUUCUGUUUUUUUUCGGACUAUAUCUUUAUAUAAGGUAAUAUAUAUAUAUUGGAAACCUUUAUAGUUUCAAUGAUAUAAAUGUUUAAUAAAUAUUUGGAAACGAAUCUAAAGGGUUUAUCAUUUAUAGGGCAAUCGGAAAGGCAUUUUUCUAGAACCCAUCUUUCUAUAUAAACUGCUGAAUGACGCCUAUUUUAUCAAACCUAAUUUCAGUCAUCUUCGCCGACAUUGUCUCUACAAUUCUUUCCUAAUCUCAAAAGAAAUCCUUUGUAAGCUUUCAUUUUCUUUAUUAAUUAGCAACACAUGUAUAUCAUUACUCGGUUAUUUGAUUAUCGAAUCACGGUUUUUUACUUCAAUUUGACGUAAUAUAAUCUGGGGAGUUUUCAAUACACGUGGAUCAUCUUUCUAGGGACAUAUAAGGUGUCAUCGGAAUAGUAAAAAAGGUUUUGUAAGAUCUCUAUAGUAUCAUGUAUUGUUUAAUUUUGAGAAUCUAACUAAAUAUAUAUAUUUCACUGUGGAUCGCUUUGUCUCUAUGUUUGAUCUGAAUUGUAAAUAGUUAAAUUAUGUUAUAAUUUGUGUUGCUUAUAUAAUCUUUAGUUGAUUAAUUUUGAGGAUCAAAAUAAAUAGAUAUAUUUCAGUAAUGUUAGUCGCUUUGUCUCUAUGUUUGAUCUGAAUUAGCAAUAGUAUAAUUUUGUUUUUAAUUGUGUUGCUUACAUAAACGACGUAUAUUUUAAUCAAUAUUUCUUUGCUCCACAUGCAAGGCAAGAUCUCGCGAUGGCAUUCAACAGAGAUCUAAAGCUCAAAAAACCGAUCGUUGAAGAUUACAGUUAUUCUCUCGAAGAGGCUUUCAACAAGGGAAAGAAUGAGACUAGGGACCGUUACCGAGCCAUGCUCUUUAUGUAUCAGAACCAAUUGGAAGCCAUCACAGCCAAGCAUGAUGAAGAGCGUGAAGUCUAUCGCGUGCAAGGUAAAUUAGAGUUACUCAAGGAACUCUUCAAGAAAGACGCAAGGAGGAAGGAGAAGAAUAAACUAAAGACUGAACUGGUGCUCGCAAAGGAGAAGAUUGAUGGGGUUAAGAUUCCUUACGUUGAUUGGUUCACAAAUGUUUGACUGACGUCUCUGUUUUAACAAUCUCCAAGUUUGCAAUGUUUUAGUUUUUGUGUUGUUUCGGCUACCAAUAUCGGAAUCUAUCUUCUGGUUUUGUAAACCAGUUUAAUAACAUGUUAUUUUCAAUAGUUUCAACGUAUUGUACUGAAGUGAUGAACUGCUUUUAUAUUAGCCUGGAUCAUUGCAUUAUAGGGGGAUUGAUUGUUGAACAAUGCGUUUAAAUGAUUUAUACACAAUCUUUGCUGAUCUUGUGUGUUCAGUCAGUGUAGUUUCGAUGUACUUAAAGAGUACUUUGUGAUAUGAAUUAGGUUGAAAUCGUGAAAAAAAGUUAUGAUUUUGUUCAUCAUUUGGCCUUAACUUGACACGCGAUUAUGAAAAGAACCCUUUUAAAUAUAAAACCAGUUCACUGACUAAACAAAUCUUUUAAAUAUUUUAAAUAUUUUUAUUGUAGCCAUUACUAUUAGAUUUAGAUUUUCGUAAUUAUAAAACGAGACAUACUAAAUAUUACUUGAAAGGGGGGAUUUGCAUAUAUCGUUUUACAGAUAUUGGGUUUAACUGAUUUUUAAAUUUUCAGCCUAUAUGUAAAAUUGCCCUAUAUUUAACCUAAAAAUUGUCAAAUAUGUCCUUCAUGCUAAUUUUGUUAAAUACUUUGGUUUGGGUUUAGUGCUUGCGGCUUCGGUUUUAAGUCUAAGAUGCGGGUUUAUUGCAUAUGAUUUGUGAUUAAGGUCAAGGAUUUAGACCAGUAUAUAGGGAAAUCGUAUUUCAAAUUAACGGUUUCGGUUUAUGGUCUAGAAUUUGAAUAGAAAGUAUGCGGUUAGGAGUUACGGUAUAGGACUUUGGUUUAGGGUUUAGGGUUUGAAUUUCAGGUGUACAGUAUAGGGUCCAGGGAUAUAUAUUUAGGAUUUUAAUUUUACGGUUUGGAUUUAGGGUAUAGGACUUCAUUUUUGGGUUAAAGAGUUUCUUCAGUUAGAGUUGAGAAAUAUAUGACAUUUAUUUCGUUCCAUCAUUUUUCUGAGAAAUAAUGAUGGCAUGAACAUAAGAAAUACUAAUUAACUAUUUCGUAUCACCAAGAUAGCACAAACAUCAAAUGUGCAAAACCGAUAAUAAAAAUACCAUUGAUUUAUACAUGUUAUUAUACAAUAUGACAUUGAGUCCUGAUUAUAAAUAAACCCUGAACCCACUAUUAUCCAAAUGAAACCAACCUUGUUUUAUGAAUUAAAACAUGUAGAAAACCAUAAUGGAACUGAUCCCCCGUUAUUAGGCUUUUAUAUGCAUUAAUACAGUCAAAGCCCAUUUUAAAAGUCGAUCUGAAAACAUAGUUAAGCCCAAAUAUAAAGAAGACGGAUUUCAAAACUCGAAACCCUAAAUUGAGCGACGUGUUUAGUAGGUCUCUAUAAAUCUGCUACGAAAAAUUACAAUCAUAGCGUCCGAACAUUCUCCCCUUUCAAUGAAGCCGCUCAAAUAUAAUUGGUCAAUUCCUACCCAGGUAUUAGCGAGCUACUAAACUAAAUUUUUUUGCAAUACAAAUUUGUUCAGCAUAAAGAUAAUUUUUAUGAUCCUAUAGGAAUUAUGCACUUUUGAUCCUGAAAAAUCUCCAUUGGAUUCCUAUGGCUAUGUAAGUUUUUUUACACAUAAAAUAUUUUGUUUCUAUUAUACGUUUGGAGUACUUACAAGUCAUAAUUUGAUGUUUGUUAUGUGACAGUGUUACGAAAAAGUUGACAAUCAUACAGACAAUAAAGUCAUUAAGAGGCAUCAGUUUCACAUUAUGAUGCGCUUUACACACGGAAACCAACAUUCAGCCAAUAUCCACGAUGAACCAGAUAAAUCCAAGUUUAUGGAUUGGAUGGAGACUAACAAACAAAUACGUAAAGGAGUAAAUCUAAAGUCUUUGAUUAGAAAGUGCUGUGCUAUUCGUAACUUUGUUUGGGAUCCAUUGACUAAAACAUGGUCACCUAAAUUUGAGAUUUGAAGUUACUAUAUGUUUUUUUUUCGUAUUUAACUCUUAAUUAUUGGAUUUGGUUUUAUUUAUUACUUCGUUGGGUUUUUUUAAUUUUAAUAUUAAAAAUCUUCAUUUGUCGUAUAUAAGUUUCUCUGAUAUAUUUAUCCAUUACUGUUACUAUGAAUGCAGCCGUCGUAAUAUUAUGCUUAUAUUAUAUACAUUAAUUUGAAGCAUAAUAAUAUCUUAAAUAUUCAAGUGAUUAGGCGGCUAAAAAUCAAAAUUAUCAAAACCAACUUUUAAAAGAAAGAAAAAAUCAGUUACCUUAAUAUCAGAAAUAUUAUAGGUAACAUGCAUGAAGCCGUCCUAAUAUUAAAUUUAUAAAGUAUAACCUAGGAACUGAUUUAACCUGACCAAUACGUAAUUCAUAUUGAUAUCUUUCUUAAAACUGUAUAUCACACACUUGCCGAAUUAAUAAUUAAAUGUGUUUAUAUUACAUCAGAUGUCGAUCAUUGUAGAUAUUUGGUCGGUAACUUUCUUAAUUAGAUUUGGUAACAAAUUUAAGAUUCCCAGUAAAUAUGAGUAGAGGAUAUACGCGUAAUAAUUUUGUAGAUCUUUGAAAUAGAAUGUUCCUUGACGGACACACCAUUUAUUAAAAAACGUUUAUAUAAGAUUAAAAUAACGAUAAUGAGACUGAGGUUAUUUGGAAUUGAUAUUAUAUAAAAAUACAAGCAAAACAUACAAAAUAGCAACGUACGAAACUGAACGAAAUAGAUAAAUCACAUAUGUAAAAAACAUAAGUUAUUUUACAUGCGUGCUUAGAUAAUACAUCUCCACAACUCUGCUUGUUUUAGUCUUGAUUCAUAGCAAAUUGAACAAAUUGAGUAAGCCUUUUGGAGUAGUAACAAUGCUUGCAUACUUCAGCCAUGUUAUCGGGAUGGCACUCAGUCCGUGGCUCAAGGUUCACCAUAGCUGUAUAGUAGCGGGUCUCCAUAAUUGCAGGGAUUGUACUUAGAGUUUUCUUGACUCUUUUCCAGCAAUAAUCGGAGGUUGAUAGAUUUUCUUUCCAUUGGAGUUUAUCCAGAUACUUCUUACCUUUUGGAUAGUGUUCUAAUGCAAGCAAUAACAAACCGUAAAGAUAAGUACCGUUUGUAUACUCACCAAUGGAUGCUUGGCGUAGAUGAUAGAGGCCUUUGCGUUUUUCUUUGUGGACGAAAUAUUGAAGUAUGCCCUCAAUAUAGUGUGCCUCAGGGUUAUCGUUCUCCAAGCAUAGUUCCUUGAAUCUGUUGUGCUUGGUGAGCAUUUCGAAAGGUUCGGCAGCAAAAUAUGACAAGGAAAUGUUUCUGAAAUAGAUGG